Girardinichthys multiradiatus is the source of this 2957-nucleotide RNA transcript. It is a transcript of the gene named TAR DNA binding protein a, with no coding region annotated. The transcript has 6 exons. NCBI's taxonomy places the organism in Eukaryota, Metazoa, Chordata, Actinopteri, Cyprinodontiformes, Goodeidae. The record is from RefSeq and is a predicted model, not a curated record.
UCACAAGGUGAGCGCUCCGCGGCCAUUUUGUUAGCUGUGUAGCUGUGCGGAUUUCGUAAAUUAAAUUUAAUCGAAAACAACAACUUGUCGACGUUUUUGUUUAUAUUGUGUUUUCAAUGAGUAUCUAGUAGGCUAGAAUAAGACUUGUUUAUUCGCUGACAUUUAAACAUAGUCAUUAAUUUUCCGAGCUGCUUUGAGUUUGCUAGCUCUUCGGCUAGCUGGCUAACUUGUUUAGCGUUGAGAGAAAUAAAUUCGGCUUUCAUGACCGCCAGCUUUUGAAAGUUACAGCUAUCGAAUGUGCACGGUUUGUCCGCUCCUGACUUCUGUUGUUUUUACUUGGUUUUUGUUUAAAUAGAAGAGCACCUGGGCCAGGUUUGAGACCUUUAAACUCGCGUUGCAUCCCUAUUUAAAUCAACAACUUGAGCUCUGUUAUUAGCUGACUGCUCUCGGACCAGGGCUCAGCCAUCCCGGAGCGACAUGUCAGAGCUGUAUAUUCGGGUGGCUGAGGAUGAGAAUGAGGAGCCCAUGGAGAUCCCUUCAGAGGACGAUGGGACUGUUCUGUUGUCCUCGGUAGCUGCCCAAUUCCCCGGGGCUUGUGGUCUGCGAUACAGAAACCCGGAGUCCCAGUGCAUGAGGGGGGUCCGGCUGGUGGAGGGAAUCCUGCAUGCACCAGAGAGCAGCUGGGGAAACCUGGUCUAUGUCGUUAACUACCCCAAAGAUAACAAAAGAAAGAUGGAUGAAAUAGACGCAGCAUCGGCUGUUAAAAUUAAAAGAGGUUUUCAGAAAACAUCAGAUCUCAUAGUCCUCGGGUUGCCUUGGAAAACAACAGAACAAGACCUCAAAGACUAUUUUACUACCUUUGGGGAGGUCAUCAUGGUGCAGGUGAAAAGAGACGCAAAAACUGGCAACUCAAAAGGUUUUGGGUUUGUCCGCUUUACUGACUAUGAGACACAAACGAAAGUCAUUGCUCAGAGACACAUGAUUGAUGGAAGAUGGUGUGACUGCAAACUUCCAAACUCAAAGGCAUCUCCCGAUGAACCGAUGCGAAGCCGUAAAAUCUUUGUCGGCCGCUGCACAGAGGACAUGACGACAGAUGAUCUGAGGCAGUACUUCAUGCAGUAUGGUGAAGUCACUGACGUCUUCAUUCCCAAACCUUUCCGGGCGUUUGCAUUUGUCACAUUUGCUGAUGAUCAGGUUGCCCAGGCACUGUGUGGAGAGGACCUGAUCAUCAAGGGUGUCAGCGUGCACAUUUCCAACGCUGAACCCAAACACAAUAACAGUAGGCAAAUGAUGGAUCGGGGGCGGUUUGGGGCUGGCGGGUUCAGUCAAGGGUAUGGUAGUAAUCGCGGUGGGCUAGGCAGCGGUAGUGGUGGGGUUAACUUUGGUGCUCUGGGCCUUAACCCAGCAAUGGUGGCAGCAGCUCAGGCAGCACUGCAGAGUAGUUGGGGAAUGAUGGGCAUGCUGGCUAACCAGCAGGGGUUGACCACAGCAGCAGGCACAGCCUCUACGACCAGAGAUCCGACGUAUAGCUCUGCCAGCACCAGUUACAGCAGCCCCAGCUCAGCUAGCCUCGGCUGGGCUGCAGGCACUAACACCGUCCCCAGCAGCGGCUUCAGCUCCGACUUUGGCACGUCAAUGGAGUCCAAGUCUUCUAGUUGGGGAAUGUAGGCAGCUGAGAGUUGACAUUUUCUCUUUCUGUUAGGCAGGUCUGGUAAGUAUACCUGCAGGAAGGAAUGGCUUAUAUCUUAUUUAAAAAGAAGAAACACUGCCUUUUAUUUUGUUAAAGCAAACAUUUCUACUUGUGUGACUGGCUGUGUAGUCAUGCAUUGAAUGGGUGAAAAGUUUAGUUUGUGGAACCCUCCUAGCAGUAGUUUGGUUUGUGAGAAAAUGUUCAGAGGAGAUGACCAUGCAUGCACCACAACUAUUUAUAUACAUGCACGAGUAUGUUCAAAUCUCCCCACAGUCGGUUGUUAAGCUGGCUGUUAGAUAAUUAUAUAUUUAUGCAUUAUAUUGUAGUUUGUUUUGUUUGUUUUUUUUUUCUUUUGGAAACGGCUUCAUGAACGUCUCUUCCGCAGUUCACCAACUCUUUCACAAUUUCCCGGGAGGAGUCACAUCAUUGGCUGCAAUGUUGGGCAGAUCUCAGUAUCCCUUCCCCUCCUCCCACGUGUAAAUGCUUUAUCAUCCGAGAACACAGCUUCACUCUGCAUAUACGGUGUUAGACGGUGGGUGUUGCCUUUCUUUCCUCCCCUCCCUCUUUUUUUUUUUCUUUUUCCGGGAUAUAGAAAUCUUGUCUGCCCUUGUCGCGUUUUGAUCUCAUUGAGUGGAUUUGGUGUUGGACCGAAUGAGAGUGAGCAAAAGGAAGGAAAGCAAGUACUGUUUGUGCUUUAUUUUUAUUUUUUGAAAGACAAAUGCCUGGGCGAGAUGAGAGGAACCUGUGGCUUUGUGCGAGUGUGAGAGGAAGAAGCAAAGAUCGUCGGAUAUGGAAAAGCCAGAUUUUCUUCUGAGCCCUGGUUUGGAGUUGGCCACGCUGAAGAUGAAGCCAAAACCGCCUUAAUUCUGGGACGGAUCUACGGCACCUCAUUAGCAAGAAACAUUCGAUCACUCAGAGUGAUGAUUUUAAAAUUUAAGAUAUUUGUUGUUGUUAUUUUUACAUAUUGGGACCUUGUUAGAAAUUUCUUUUUUUUUUUUGUCUUCCAAAACUGUUCAAAUCUACCUCGCUAGAACAUGUUCGUAAAUAUCUUUCACUUCACAAGUUACACAUACAUGUGAGUAUAAAUCAUUCAAUUAGUAAUGUGGUAAAAAGUUGUAUUAGAAUAGCAGGAUAUGUUGACAGCUGUUUACUUUAAUGAUGAAGUGUAUUGGCAUUUUACAGUUUAAGGAUUUUAGUGCAGGCAGAAUCAAACUUUGUAUUGAGAUAUUAGUGUUGCAUUGUAAAAUAAAAACAUAGUUUUUUUUAA